Molecule: long non-coding RNA, 1285 nt
Filed under: Equus asinus (donkey)
Lineage: Eukaryota; Metazoa; Chordata; Mammalia; Perissodactyla; Equidae
Description: lncRNA (ENSEASG00005025242.1)
Source: RNAcentral
GAACCGGCGAACCUCGGCCCCUGAAAAGUGGAACGUGCACACUUAACCACUAUGCCACCGGGCUGGCCCCCAGAACCAUAGUUUAAUAGGAACAUACAAUGUGACUUACAGAAAUGUUUCCAUACUAGUUUUAAGGAACACAUCUGUAGCACAAAUCAAGUGCAUUGAUGGAAAAAAUUCUGUAUUUUAUUUAUACAUUAAUGUAUACAGAUGUGCUGAAAACUAUUGAAAAGCUAUUUGUGGAUAUGAAUCCAAUGGAGUCAACUCAUGAGACUAUGAAAUACACGUAUUAGCAAAGUGUUGUGUUAAGAAAACUGUGACUCCCCCAUUCAAAGUAGCUUUUGAAGACACUAGAAGUACUUUUGAAAGCCAAAAAAGAUGAACCCUCACAAAGCUGAAAACAACACUGCAGACGUCAUCUAGGUGGAGUCACUAACAACUGAAAGAAGACAGAGUUUAAGAAAAAAAACCCAUAAGCUUUGGCACAUGAAACAGAGACCUCCUGAAAAAUAAAAAUGAAAUUAAAUGAUUAUGCUCUCAUUGCUAAAACAGCAAUGUGUAUGACCUGCACCUCUGCCUUGCUCGAAACACUAGUGACGUAGCUGGUCCCUGUGUGCUGAUUCAGUAACAAGAGGAAAUGCCUGUUACAUGUGCUUCCUGUUGAAACCUAAGUGACAUCACUAGCCUGUAAGGUGCCACGCCUCUAGAUUGUCUCCUAUGAAUGACCAGAAACUGAUAAAUCAUCCCGUACUGCUGGAAAUACAGAAGCAACAAUCUAAGUCCGUGACACCCCUGUACCAUCAGACUUCAAAACUCAACGCUCACCAGUGAGCCCUGACUGUUAUGCUACGUUUUGUGUGGUAUCAGGUUUUAACUUUCUACUUGAUAAUCUCUUUAUUGGUAGAGAGUUAUGAACUCUUCUGCCUCUGGGCCUUUGAGCACGCCGUUCCCUCUGCUAGAAAUUCAUCUUGACCCUUCAUUGCGCUGACUCCCAUUCUUCUUCAGUUACUAGAGGAGCCCAGCCAGCCUAGGCAAGUGGCUGAAGAGGCGAGGAGGAGGCAGUGAACAGUUUAGGAACGAAUCGGCCUCUGGUCACGCUGUAGACGGGACGUGUGGAGUAAGAGAACGUGAAAUUUGGCAAUUGACCCUGGCGGCUUGGACUAAUCCUUACUUGAUCAUUCUUUUAUUACUCUACUGGGUCCCAUUUGCUAAUAUGUUAUCUAGACUCUGUUUUAUUUGCUUUUAUAAGAUUGGUCUGUAGUUUGCUUUUGUAGUGUUUACUUGU